RNAcentral lists this ribosomal RNA (367 nucleotides) under uncultured bacterium. Its description in RNAcentral is "bacterial SSU rRNA". It matches the Rfam family "Bacterial small subunit ribosomal RNA", at positions 9 to 385 of the family's 1533-position model. The record is from RNAcentral.
GAGUUUGAUCGUGCUCAGGAUGAACGCUGGCGGCGUGCCUAAUACAUGCAAGUCGAACGGUAUCGGGAAACCGGUAUAGUGGCGAACGGGUGAGUAACGCGUUGGUGACCUGCCCCGAAGUGUGGGAUAACAGUUCGAAAGGACUGCUAAUACCGCAUGUGGAUAUGGGAUUUAGAAACUCAUAUCGAAAGGAAUAUUUCGCUUCGGGAGGGGCCUGCGUCCCAUCAGCUAGUUGGUAGGUAACGCCUACCAAGGCGAUGACGGGUAGGGACCUGAGAGGGUGGCCCCCCACAAUGGAACUGAAACACGGUCCAUACACCUACGGGUGGCAGCAGUAGGGAAUAUUGCAAAAUGGGACGAAAGCCUG